GAGCGGCGAACGGGUGAGUAACACGUGAGUAACCUGCCCCUGACUCUGGGAUAAGCCCGGGAAACUGGGUCUAAUACCGGAUACGACACCUCCUCGCAUGGGGUGGGUGUGGAAAGUUUUUCGGUUGGGGAUGGACUCGCGGCCUAUCAGCUUGUUGGUGGGGUAACGGCCUACCAAGGCGACGACGGGUAGCCGGCCUGAGAGGGCGACCGGCCACACUGGGACUGAGACACGGCCCAGACUCCUACGGGAGGCAGCAGUGGGGAAUAUUGCGCAAUGGGCGAAAGCCUGACGCAGCGACGCCGCGUGGGGGAUGACGGCCUUCGGGUUGUAAACCUCUUUCAGCAGGGACGAAGUUGACGUGUACCUGCAGAAGAAGCGCCGGCUAACUACGUGCCAGCAGCCGCGGUAAUACGUAGGGCGCAAGCGUUGUCCGGAAUUAUUGGGCGUAAAGAGCUCGUAGGUGGCUUGUCACGUCGGGUGUGAAAGCUUGGGGCUUAACUCCAGGUCUGCAUUCGAUACGGGCUGGCUAGAGGUAGGUAGGGGAGAACGGAUUNCU
This 559-nucleotide ribosomal RNA is filed under the name Streptosporangium sp. 337H11. Its description in RNAcentral is "bacterial SSU rRNA". It matches the Rfam family "Bacterial small subunit ribosomal RNA", at positions 93 to 670 of the family's 1533-position model. Lineage: Bacteria; Bacillati; Actinomycetota; Actinomycetes; Streptosporangiales; Streptosporangiaceae. The record is from RNAcentral.